RNAcentral lists this ribosomal RNA (301 nucleotides) under uncultured bacterium. Its description in RNAcentral is "partial 16S ribosomal RNA". It matches the Rfam family "Bacterial small subunit ribosomal RNA", at positions 509 to 808 of the family's 1533-position model. The record is from RNAcentral.
CAGCAGCCGCGGGAAUACAGAGGCCUCAAGCGUUGUUCGGAUUCAUUGGGCGUAAAGGGUGCGUAGGUGGCUUGGUAAGUUGAAGGUGAAAUCUCGGGGCUUAACCCCGAAACUGCCUUCAAUACUGCUAGGCUCGAGGACUGUAGAGGAGAAUGGAAUUCACGGUGUAGCAGUGAAAUGCGUAGAUAUCGUGAGGAAGACCAGUGGCGAAGGCGAUUCUCUGGGCAGUUCCUGACACUGAGGCACGAAGGCCAGGGGAGCAAACGGGAUUAGAUACCCGAGUAGUCCCUGUCUCUUAUCA